UUACUAACGUUAGCAUCCACAGACCCUUCGUUGCUCGCGUAGAUUUCCAUGUUGUCUCACCAGUUACGUUACAGGUAGAGUCAGCACAGAUCGGCAGAACACUAGAAAGAAUGAGGGAUUGUGAGCGAUUCAGGAAUGUCUCAGGGCUUGCCUCAUGUUACCCGGAAGGUGUCGCCUGAGAUAGCAGAAUGGAAAUCCAGCUGUUUUCAUUGUUUUGAUGGACCUCUGCACCUAUGAUUGCCAGUAAAAGCUUUGUCAUCUAUGGA
Molecule: long non-coding RNA, 266 nt
Organism: Acanthopagrus latus (yellowfin seabream)
Lineage: Eukaryota; Metazoa; Chordata; Actinopteri; Spariformes; Sparidae
Exons: 3
Source: RefSeq, a predicted model, not a curated record